Molecule: small nuclear RNA, 115 nt
Organism: Candoia aspera
Lineage: Eukaryota; Metazoa; Chordata; Lepidosauria; Squamata; Candoiidae
Product: U5 spliceosomal RNA
Exons: 1
Source: RefSeq, a predicted model, not a curated record
AUGUUCUGGUUUCUUCUCAGAUCAUAUAAAUCUUUCACCUUUUACUAAAAAUUUCCAUGGAAAUGAACAUCUAUGAGUUUUCUUUCUUUAAGAAGUGCUGUGCUUGAACAGAAAU